CCGGCAGAAACUCCUCCUCCUCGCGUGAUUCACGUCCGUUUAGCUCAGCGACUGCGCGGAAGAGCCUGGCUUGCGAGGCUAGAACUCGUCUACACGGGUGCUUCCACCUUCUUUCUCAAUGCAAAGGGUUCAGCUACUCUAUCCAAACGCAGGGCAACGGCCAACCGAUGAUCAUGAGAAAACAAGGAGAACGGUGAUUUUGAGAGAACGUCGUCGACAGGCGCUUCGCACGAAACCUCUCUGCUGGAGAACAACAGCAUGAAGCGCGUCAUCUAGGGAAUUAAGAAUCCAGAAUCUAAGGGGAAAUGGAGGGCGCUGACGAUUGAGAACCCGAACUAUCAGGUAGAGCGUAGAGCGUGUUUGUGUUGAUUUGAGUGUGAAAGGAAUGUUGGAAGGUGGAAGCCGCGGAGAAUUCCGAACCCAGAUUUCUAUGAAGUCGCGAAUCCAUUCCAAAUGACGUCAAUCCUAUGUUAUUGUGUUUGCGCGCGUGCGUGUUUGUGUGCGUGCGUGCGUGUGUGUGUGUGUGUGUGUGUGUGUGUGUGUGUGUGUGUGUGUGUGCGCGCGCGCGCGCGCGUGUGUCUGUCUGUCUGUCUGUCUGUCUAAGCGGAUUCCCACUAGUGGUCAAACGAUGGUUAGGUUACCAUAGCAUGGUAAAUUUUGUACUAGUGUGAACGCAAACCUUGGUUAAACCAUGGUUAACUCAUGGUUAGAUAACCAACUUCCAGACCUUGGUUAGAGGAUGAUUAGGGUUGGUUAUGCAUUGGGACUAAAGUGUCACUGCAAUGUGGGAAGAGUUUCGGAGGUGUUGUUAGUAAUUAAGUUCCACAUGCAUGGCGACCAGCAGCAGUUUUUCUUCUCUGUUAGCUAUAUUCUUUCUAAUUCAAAUGGAAGAAGAAGGACACAGAGGAGACGAAUGGUCUACUUGUUUUUCCUAGUGGCGCAGUCAUUGCUCCUGCUGCUUAUCCCCUCUAGACGUCCCACUAGGAGAAGCAUAUGGAUGGAUGAAACAAGUUACUCUGUCUGGUGGGAAUGGAUGCUCAAGAGUAUGUGCUAAUAGAAUGAUGGCUUGUAGAUUUGCCAAUGUGAACCCACCAGUUUUAAUUAAUAAAGGGGAACUCACACACAAAAACAAGUUGCUUUUAAAAAAUAGCCUUGUCUUCGAGAAGUUCAACGGUACCCUAGUCGCCAGCCAAAGGGACUGCGUAAAGGAGAAAAUUGCGUUUUAAAUGAUCCCAGAUGACCAUGCGCGUGAGGUAUGAUCUUGAAUAGCGCAACGAGACUUUCUACAUCAAACCGCCUGAUUGGAUACAACACUUGAACAUUCACCUUCACUGUGAGGUCUGGAACUCUGAGGAAACACUUUAUCAACUUCCACUUUGCCGUUUACGUCUCUUCUCAAGUUCUAGUCGAUCUGAAGUUUCCUAACUCCAAUUUGAGACUUGCCGGGAAUGGAGAAAGAAGUCUGUUUAGAUUUCCAUUUGAUUGAGUGUGGUUGAGAGAGUGGAUUCUGCGUUUGAGGCUAAAAGGGAGGCAGUCGGACCACAUUCCAGAGGUGCCAUUGGAUUAGAAUUAUGGUUGAUGUCUGACAACAUUCUGUUCGACAACUUCCUGAUUACAACUAAUCGUUCAGUUGCCUUUCAAGUGGGAGACAACGGUUGGAGAAAGAAAUCUGUUAAAGAAGGUCGCAGUGCAAGUGGACUCCUCGACAGCUUGGUUGAUGCGACUCUCGAUCGUCCGUGGUUGUGGAGCUUCUACGCUCUUGCAUUAGUUCUGCCGUUUGCUGUCGAGUGAAGGUAUUCCUUUCAAUCCACAGUUAUGUUGCAGACAGGGUUACAUGAUGUUAUCAUGAUCUCAAGUUCGUUCAGCUGUGGCAUUGUAGCUCAAAAUAUAUACUACAAAGUCAUUUGCAUAAUAUCCUUGCGCAUGCGUAUAUUGACUUUU
Molecule: long non-coding RNA, 1941 nt
Organism: Corticium candelabrum
Lineage: Eukaryota; Metazoa; Porifera; Homoscleromorpha; Homosclerophorida; Plakinidae
Exons: 6
Source: RefSeq, a predicted model, not a curated record